ACCGGCUAUGGGAGCCUCUAGAGUUUGAUCCUGGCUCAGUAGGUCGUAUCAAGGUAACCGGUUUUGGAUCCCCAAAAGUUUGAUCCUGGUUCAGAAUGGAAAACAAGGUAACCAGUAUUGGAUCCUCUUACCUUUGAUCCUGGCUCGACCAAUGAGGGGGACCUUUGGGCCUCUUGCCCCCCUAUGUGUUGAGCUGGGAUUAGCUAGUAGGUGGGGUAAUGGCUCACCUAGGCCUCCAUCCCUAUCUGGUCUGAGAGGAUGACCAGCCACACUGGAACUGACACACGGUCCAGACUCCUACGGGAGGCAGCAGUGGGGAAUAUUGCACAAUGGGCGCAUGCCUGAUGCAGCCAUGCCGCGUGUAUGAAAAAGGCCUUCGGGUUGUAAAGUACUUUCAGCGGGGAGGAAGGCGGUGAGGUUAAUAACCUCAUCGAUUGACGUUACCCGCAAAAAAAGCACCGGCUAACUCCGUGCCAACAACCGCGGUAAUACGGAGGGUGCAAGCGUUAAUCGGAAUUACUGGGCGUAAAGCGCACGCCGGCGGUCUGUCAAGUCGGAUGUGAAAUCCCCAGGCUCAACCUGGGAACUGCAUUCGAAACUGGAGGCUAGAGUCUUGUAAAGGGGGGUAAAAUUCCGAGUGUAGCGGUGAAAUGCGUAAAGAUCUGGAAGAAUACCGGUGGCGAAGGCGCCCCCCUGGAAAAAAACUGACUCUCAGGUGCGAAAGGCGUGGAGAGCAAACAGGAUUAAAUCCCCUGGUAGUCACCCCCUAAACGAUGUCGACUUGAAAGUUGUGCCCUGAGGCGUGGCUUCCAAGCUAACUAAUAAUCCAACCGCCGGGAAACUGGCAGGCUAGAGUCUUGUAGAGGGGGGUAGAAUUCCAGGUGUAGCGGUGAAAUGCGUAGAGAUCUGGAGGAAUACCGGUGGCGAAGGCGGCCCCCUGGACAAAGACUGACGCUCAGGUGCGAAAGCGUGGGGAGCAAACAGGAUUAGAUACCCUGGUAGUCCACGCCGUAAACGAUGUCGACUUGGAGGUUGUGCCCUUGAGGCGUGGCUUCCGGAGCUAACGCGUUAAGUCGACCGCCUGGGGAGUACGGCCGCAAGGUUAAAACUCAAAUGAAUUGACGGGGGCCCGCACAAGCGGUGGAGCAUGUGGUUUAAUUCGAUGCAACGCGAAGAACCUUACCUACUCUUGACAUCCAGAGAACUUAGCAGAGAUGCUUUGGUGCCUUCGGGAACUCUGAGACAGGUGCUGCAUGGCUGUCGUCAGCUCGUGUUGUGAAAUGUUGGGUUAAGUCCCGCAACGAGCGCAACCCUUAUCCUUUGUUGCCAGCGGUCCGGCCGGGAACUCAAAGGAGACUGCCAGUGAUAAACUGGAGGAAGGUGGGGAUGACGUCAAGUCAUCAUGGCCCUUACGAGUAGGGCUACACACGUGCUACAAUGGCGCAUACAAAGAGAAGCGACCUCGCGAGAGCAAGCGGACCUCAUAAAAUGCGUCGUAGUCCGGAUUGGAGUUUGCAACUCGACUCCUUGUAACAAGGUAACCAAAAUGGGAUCCUCUAGGGUUUGACCCGGAAUNAUUAAGUCGUCACAAGGUAACCACCCGGGACCCCCUAGGGUUUGAUCCUGGCUCAGGAAGUCGUAACAAGGUAACCAGUAUGGACCCAGAGUU
This 1669-nucleotide ribosomal RNA is filed under the name Enterobacter sp. IGCAR-12/07. RNAcentral's name for it is "partial 16S ribosomal RNA". It matches the Rfam family "Bacterial small subunit ribosomal RNA", at positions 168 to 1533 of the family's 1533-position model. Lineage: Bacteria; Pseudomonadati; Pseudomonadota; Gammaproteobacteria; Enterobacterales; Enterobacteriaceae. The record is from RNAcentral.